Molecule: transfer RNA, 71 nt
Filed under: Camelus dromedarius (Arabian camel)
Lineage: Eukaryota; Metazoa; Chordata; Mammalia; Artiodactyla; Camelidae
Also listed under: 1 other name
Rfam family: tRNA
About the family: Transfer RNA (tRNA) molecules are approximately 80 nucleotides in length. Their secondary structure includes four short double-helical elements and three loops (D, anti-codon, and T loops).
Source: Rfam by way of RNAcentral
GAGGGUAUAGCUCAGUGGUAGAGUGCCUGCUUAGGAUGCACACGUCCUGGGUUCAAUCCCCAGUACCUCCA